GGGAUCCGAUUUUAGCAUGGAAUAAUAAAAUAGGACGUGUGGUUCUAUUUUGUUGGUUUCUAGGACCGCCGUAAUGAUUAAUAGGGACAGUCGGGGGCAUCAGUAUUCAAUUGUCAGAGGUGAAAUUCUUGGAUUUAUUGAAGACUAACUUCUGCGAAAGCAUUUGCCAAGGAUGUUUUCAUUAAUCAAGAACGAAAGUUAGGGGAUCGAAGACGAUCAGAUACCGUCGUAGUCUUAACCAUAAACUAUGCCGACUAGGGAUUGGACGAUGUUACUUUUAUUGCACUCGUUCAGCACCUUAUGAGAAAUCAAAGUUUUUAGGUUCCGGGGGGAGUAUGGUCGCAAGGCUGAAACUUAAAGGAAUUGACGGAAGGGCACCACCAGGAGUGGAGCCUGCGGCUUAAUUUGACUCAACACGGGGAAACUCACCAGGUCCAGAAAUCUAGA
This 447-nucleotide ribosomal RNA is filed under the name uncultured fungus. RNAcentral's name for it is "bacterial SSU rRNA". It matches the Rfam family "Eukaryotic small subunit ribosomal RNA", at positions 793 to 1236 of the family's 1831-position model. Lineage: Eukaryota; Fungi. The record is from RNAcentral.